Molecule: long non-coding RNA, 263 nt
Filed under: Rattus norvegicus (Norway rat)
Lineage: Eukaryota; Metazoa; Chordata; Mammalia; Rodentia; Muridae
Description: long non-coding RNA NONRATT018290
Source: RNAcentral
AGGAGGCAAGGUCAUUUGGGGAAAGUAAUGCUCAAGUUACCAACAAUCCUGAAAAUGAUGGGUGCAUAAAUGCAGUCUUGCUGGUUUGACAGUGACGUCAUACAAGUCAUUCCACUCACUAUGGAAGGCUACAGUGUCAGGAAAACACCAUCGCUGUGAUCUUUCUGAACUACCAAUCAGCCUUACUCCAUGUGCAGUCAUCAAGAAGUAUUUAUUAAAUUGUAUAGGAAAAUAAAACACUGCCCAAUUUAAAAAAAAAAAAA